This is a non-coding RNA of Heterocephalus glaber (naked mole-rat), 73 nucleotides long. Lineage: Eukaryota; Metazoa; Chordata; Mammalia; Rodentia; Bathyergidae. The record is from Rfam.
GGGGAUUUAGCUCAGUGGUUCCACCAUCUGCCUCUCAAGCGGAAGGUCCCAAGUUCAAUCCCUGGUACCCCCC